UAUCACAGUUUCCUUGCUGUCCA
RNAcentral lists this microRNA (23 nucleotides) under Heligmosomoides polygyrus. RNAcentral's name for it is "hpo-miR-43b-3p". Its record names the gene hpo-miR-43b-3p. The record is from miRBase by way of RNAcentral. Lineage: Eukaryota; Metazoa; Nematoda; Chromadorea; Rhabditida; Heligmosomidae.